Silurus meridionalis is the source of this 533-nucleotide long non-coding RNA. RefSeq lists it as uncharacterized. The record is from RefSeq and is a predicted model, not a curated record. Lineage: Eukaryota; Metazoa; Chordata; Actinopteri; Siluriformes; Siluridae. The transcript is spliced from 4 exons.
CACAUCGACAUUCCCCGUUGUAGCCCCAUGUGGUGGCCCCGCCCCUCUUUUUUACGUCAUCGAGCUGCGACAUCUGCGGGAGGAGAGAGAACGCUUUCAUAUCAACAAACGUUUCGCGCUGUGCAUAAAUAAUACUUGGCACCUGGACGAUGUGUAGGAUAUAAUAUUCUGCAAGCGAUCAGUUCAGCUGUGGAAGUUGAUGUGGAAGAAAAAUGGACAAGAGUCUGAGCGAGUUUGACAAGGGCCAGGUUGUGAUGGCUUUACGACUGGGGCAGAGCAUCUCAGAGGUUGCAGAUCUUGUGGGAUGCUCCGAAUCUGCGGUGCAAGAGGUGAUUGACCAGAUUUCCGUGGACCAGGGUGGUGUCCUUCCUGACGAGAAGACCAUAGUGGAAAAGAAAAGCAGAGGGAGAUCCCGAAAGAACCCACAGACCUGAGACCAUCCCAGCCGUCACAGCUUUCAGGCUGCCGAGGUUCACACUGCCAUCCAACAUCAACACAUCGUACCAGGAGGAGAACCACAAUAUAUAUAAAAA